RNAcentral lists this unclassified non-coding RNA (400 nucleotides) under uncultured fungus. RNAcentral's name for it is "sequence contains ITS1". The stretch from base 1 to 105 matches the Rfam family "5.8S ribosomal RNA", at positions 50 to 154 of the family's 154-position model. Lineage: Eukaryota; Fungi. The record is from RNAcentral.
AAAGUGCGAUAACUAGUGUGAAUUGCAGAAUUCUGUGAAUCAUCGAACUCUUGAACGCAUCCUGCGCCUGAGGGCUAUCCCUCAGGCACACCUGUUUGAGUGUUGACUCAUUCUCUAUUCUUUUAAAACAAACUAACUUGUUUUGUUCUGAAAGAGAAUUGAUAGUGAAGAAUCGUAAAACAUUCCUCUCUAUUUAAAAAAGUAUGGGCUUGGUCACUUCAUUUCAUUAAUUAGUGGCUAACAAAACAAUCUAGGUUCAGGGGUCUUUUAUGACUCAAGUCCUAGAUUCACUUUUUAGUUUUGAAGUAAGUGAUUGCAGCAUCAAAGGAAUAAAUGGUAUGUGUUUCAAUAAUACACACCACAAACCCAAUUCAACCUCAAAUCAGGUGGGACUACCCCC